RNAcentral lists this ribosomal RNA (489 nucleotides) under uncultured bacterium. RNAcentral describes it as "partial 16S ribosomal RNA". It matches the Rfam family "Bacterial small subunit ribosomal RNA", at positions 28 to 523 of the family's 1533-position model. The record is from RNAcentral.
GACGAACGCUGGCGGCGUGCCUAACACAUGCAAGUCGAGCGGAGAUAAUUAAAAGCUUGCUUUUGAUUAUCUUAGCGGCGGACGGGUGAGUAACGCGUGGGCAACCUGCCUGUUACAGGGGGAUAACACAGGGAAACUUGUGCUAAUACCGCAUAACACAACGAGGUAGCAUUCCCUUGUUGUCAAAGGAGCAAUCCGGUAAUAGAUGGGCCCGCGUCCAAGUAGCUAGUUGGAGGUGUAACGGACCACCAAGGCGACGAUUGGUAGCCGAACUGAGAGGUUGAUCGGCAACAUUGGGACUGAGACACGGCCCAGACUCCUACGGGAGGCAGCAGUGGGGAAUAUUGCACAAUGGGGGAAACCCUGAUGCAGCAACGCCGCGUGAAGGAUGAAGGUUUUCGGAUUGUAAACUUCUUUAGUCAGGGACGAAAAAAAUGACGGUACCUGAAGAAUAAGCCACGGCUAACUACGUGCCAGCCGCCGCAGUAA